RNAcentral lists this ribosomal RNA (253 nucleotides) under uncultured bacterium. RNAcentral's name for it is "partial 16S ribosomal RNA". It matches the Rfam family "Bacterial small subunit ribosomal RNA", at positions 524 to 776 of the family's 1533-position model. The record is from RNAcentral.
GACGAACCGAGCGAACGUUGUUCGGAAUCACUGGGCUUAAAGGGCGCGUAGGCGGGUGCUCAAGUCCGGGGUGAAAUCCCACAGCUCAACUGUGGAACUGCCUCGGAUACUGGGCGUCUCGAGGGUGGCAGGGGUAUGCGGAACUAUCGGUGGAGCGGUGAAAUGCGUUGAUAUCGAUAGGAACUCCGGUGGCGAAGGCGGCAUACUGGUCCACUUCUGACGCUGAGGCGCGAAAGCCAGGGGAGCAAACGGG